GUAUUAAGUCACCAAUAAAUGCUAUUAAAAACUAAUAAGUACUUAUUAACUGCUAAUAGAAUUCAAUUAAUAUUAAUUAAUUAAUAAUUAAUGACUUCUUCGGGGCCUCACCUGUGCCUUGAGGGCCAGCACCUGCUCGGCCAGCUCGUCCUUCUCCUCGCGCAGCAGUUUGUGGAUCUGGUUGGCCUUGAUGCGCUCUGACAUCAGCUUGAAGUUGGCGUCGUCCUUCUCGCGCAGCUGCUGCAGCAGCCGCAGGUUCUGCUCCUGCAUGUCCUCGAAGGCCUGGCCCGUCACGUCCAUCUCCGACAGCAGCCGCAGGUUCUGCUCCUGCAUGUCCUCGAAGGCCUGGCCCGUCACGUCCAUCUCCGACAGCAGCGCCUCCUCCUCCUGCGGUAACGGCAAGAUGGCCGCCGUCAGCGGAUGGGAUAACCCAGAGAGACAAGAUGGCCGCCAUCAACGGAUAGAAUAACCCAGAGAGACAAGAUGGCCGCCAUCGGCAGAUGGAGUGACCCAGAGAGACAGGAUGGCCGCCAUCAGUAGAUAAAAUAACCCAAAGAAACAAGAUGGCUGCCACGAGGUAAUGCAAUAACCCAGAGAGACAAAAUGGCUGCCAUCAAUGGAUCGAAUAACCCAGAGAGACAAGAUGGCCGACAUGAGGACAUAUAACCCAAACAGACAAGAUGGCCACCGUCAGCGGAAGGGAUAACCCAGAGAGACAAGAUGGUGCCAUGAGAUCAUAUAAUAACCCAAAGAGACAAGAUGGCUGCCAUCAGUAGACAGAAUAACCCAGAGAGACAAGAUGGCCGACCUGAGGUGAUGCAAUAACCCAAAGAGACAAGAUGGCUGCCAUCAGUAGAUACAAUGACCCAAAGAGAUAAGAUGGCUGCCAUCAGUAGAUAGAAUGACCCAGAGACAAGAUGGCCGCCGUAACCAGAUGGAAUAACCCAGAGAGACAAGAUGGCCGCCAUGAGGUGAUACAAUAACCCAUAGAGACAAGAUGGCCGCCAUAAGCAGAUGGAAUGACCCAGAGAGACAAGAUGGCCGCCAUGAGGUGAUGCAACAACCCAGGGAGACAAGAUGGCUGCCAGAAGAUGAUACAUCAACCCACAGAAACAAGAUGGCCGCCAUGAUGUAAUGCAAUAACCCAGAGAGACAAGAUGGCCGCCGUAAGCAGAUGGAGUCACCCAGAUAGACAAGAUGGCCACCGUUGGCGGAUGGAGUAGCCCAGAGAGACAAGAUGGCUGACAUGAGAACAUAUAACCCAAAGAGACAAGAUGGCCACCAUCAGCAGAUGGAAUAAAGCAGAGAGACAAGAUGGCCA
This 1321-nucleotide long non-coding RNA is filed under the name Zonotrichia albicollis (white-throated sparrow). RNAcentral describes it as "lncRNA (ENSZALG00000005364.1)". The record is from RNAcentral. Lineage: Eukaryota; Metazoa; Chordata; Aves; Passeriformes; Passerellidae.